UUCCGGUUGAUCCCGCCGGACCUGACUGCUAUCGGAUUGAUACUAAGCCAUGCGAGUCAUUGUAGCAAUACAAGGCAGACGGCUCAGUAACGCGUAGUCAACCUACCCUAUGGACGGGAAUAACCUCGGGAAACUGAGUAUAAUGCCCGAUAGAACAUUAUGCCUGGAAUGGUUUAUGUUCCAAAUGAUUUAUCGCCGUAGGAUGGGACUGCGGCCUAUCAGUUUGUUGGUGAGGUAAUGGCCCACCAAGACUAUUACAGGUACGGGCUCUGAGAGGAGUGGCCCGGAGAUGGGUACUGAGACACGGACCCAGGCCCUAUGGGGCGCAGCAGGCGAGAAAACCUUGCAAUGUGCGAAAGCACGACAAGGUUAAUCCGAGUGGUUUCUGCUAAAGGAACCUUUUGCUAGUCGUAGAAUCACUGAUGAAUAAGGGGUGGGCAAGUUCUGGCGUCAGCCGCCGCGGUAAAACCAGCACCUCAAGUGGUCAGGAUGAUUAUUGGGCCUAAAGCAUCCGUAGCCGGCUCUGUUAGUUUUCGGUUAAAUCUGUACGCUCAACGUACAGGCUGCCGGGAAUACUGCAGAGCUAGGGAGUGGGAGAGGUAGACGGUACUCGGUAGGAAGGGGUAAAAUCCUUUGAUCUGUUGAUGACCACCUGUGGCGAAGGCGGUCUACCAGAACACGUCCGACGGUGAGGGAUGAAAGCUGGGGGAGCAAACCGGAUUAGAUACCCGGGUAGUCCCAGCUGUAAACUAUGCAAACUCAGUGAUGCAUUGGCUUGUGGCCAAUGCAGUGCUGCAGGGAAAGCCGUUAAGUUUGCCGCCUGGGAAGUACGUACGCAAGUAUGAAACUUAAAGGAAUUGGCGGGGGAGCACCACAAGGGUGAAGCCUGCGGUUCAAUUGGAGUCAACGCCGGG
This 914-nucleotide ribosomal RNA is filed under the name uncultured archaeon. RNAcentral describes it as "bacterial SSU rRNA". It matches the Rfam family "Archaeal small subunit ribosomal RNA", at positions 1 to 922 of the family's 1478-position model. The record is from RNAcentral.